RNAcentral lists this ribosomal RNA (250 nucleotides) under uncultured bacterium. RNAcentral's name for it is "partial 16S ribosomal RNA". It matches the Rfam family "Bacterial small subunit ribosomal RNA", at positions 524 to 773 of the family's 1533-position model. The record is from RNAcentral.
UACAGAGGGUGCAAGCGUUAAUCGGAAUAACUGGGCGUAAAGGGCGCGUAGGCGGAUUAAAAAGAGAUAUGUGAAAGCCCUGGGCUUAACCUAGGAAGAGCAUGUUUAACUGUUAAUCUGGAGUAUGAGAGAGGGUGAUAGAAUUUCCGGUGUAGCGGUGAAAUGCGUAGAUAUCGGAAAGAAUGUCGGAGGCGAAGGCGAUUGCCUGGCUCAAUACUGACGCUGAGGCGCGAAAGCGUGGGGAGCAAAC